This 29-nucleotide non-coding RNA is filed under the name Mus musculus (house mouse). Lineage: Eukaryota; Metazoa; Chordata; Mammalia; Rodentia; Muridae. The record is from RNAcentral.
UAGGUAGGUACUAGGGCGGUCUGAGCUUG